CGUGAGGGGCGGGAUAGAGGAAACCCCACCCCUUCCGUAAAGACCAGCCUUGAGGCCGGAAAUGCCUCUUCUUCUCGCCCGUUGACCAGGGGGAGGAGGUAAACUCGGCUCUCCCGGCGUGCCCCGCGGGAGGGGGCGGGGCCGGAGGCGCGCCGAAGGCGCAGCCCGUACCCGCAGGCUGAGGUUCCCGUCAGGCUGUGCGGCGCGAAGCGGAGCUACGCUACCGCGUUGCCUUUAAGGAGUCGCUCAGUGGUGUCUGACUGUUUGCCACCCCAUGAACUGUAGCCCACCAGGCUCUUCUGUCUGUGAGAUUCUCCAGGCAAGAAUACUGGAGUGGCUUGCCAUUUCCUUCUCCAGGGGAUCUUCCCGACCCAGGAAUCAAACCCUUGUCUCCUGCAUUGGCAGUGUAGCAUGUGGAACUCUGCUCAAUAUUAUGUGGCACCUGAUGCAAAGAGCCAACUCAUUAGAAAAAACCCUGAUGCUCGGAAAGACUGAAGGCAGGAGGAAAAGGGGAAGACAGAGGAGGAGAUGGUUGGAUGGCAUCACCAACUCGAUGGACAUGAGUUUGAGCUAGCUCCGGGAGAUGGUGAAGGCCAGGGAAGCCUAAUUUGCUGCAACGUACAAUAUGCUGGGAAGGACAAAUGUUUGCAGAGCCGGACACAACUGAGUGACUGGACAAUAACAGUCUAUAAAAGUAUUGAAUCACUAUGUUCUAUACCUGAAACUAA
Molecule: long non-coding RNA, 728 nt
Organism: Dama dama (fallow deer)
Lineage: Eukaryota; Metazoa; Chordata; Mammalia; Artiodactyla; Cervidae
Exons: 3
Source: RefSeq, a predicted model, not a curated record